This 549-nucleotide ribosomal RNA is filed under the name uncultured bacterium. RNAcentral describes it as "bacterial SSU rRNA". It matches the Rfam family "Bacterial small subunit ribosomal RNA", at positions 355 to 896 of the family's 1533-position model. The record is from RNAcentral.
UAGGGAAUCUUCCACAAUGGGCGCAAGCCUGAUGGAGCAACACCGCGUGAGUGAAGAAGGGUUUCGGCUCGUAAAGCUCUGUUGUUGAAGAAGAACGUGCAUGAGAGUAACUGUUCAUGCAGUGACGGUAUUCAACCAGAAAGUCACGGCUAACUACGUGCCAGCAGCCGCGGUAAUACGUAGGUCCCGAGCGUUGUCCGGAUUUAUUGGGCGUAAAGCGAGCGCAGGCGGUUAGAUAAGUCUGAAGUGAAAGGCAGUGGCUCAACCAUUGUAGGCUUUGGAAACUGUUUAACUUGAGUGCAGAAGGGGAGAGUGGAAUUCCAUGUGUAGCGGUGAAAUGCGUAGAUAUAUGGAGGGACACCGGUGGCGAAAGCGGCUCUCUGGUCUGUAACUGACGCUGAGGCUCGAAAGCGUGGGGAGCGAACAGGAUUAGAUACCCUGGUAGUCCACGCCGUAAACGAUGAGUGCUAGGUGUUAGGUCCUUUCCGGGACUUAGUGCCGCAGCUAACGCAUUAAGCACUCCGCCUGGGGAGUACGACCGCAAGGUUG